GCGUUUGUGGUUCAGUGGUAGAAUUCUUGCCUUCCAUGCUGGAGACCUGGGUUUGAUUCUCCACCAAUGCA
Molecule: transfer RNA, 71 nt
Organism: Loxodonta africana (African savanna elephant)
Lineage: Eukaryota; Metazoa; Chordata; Mammalia; Proboscidea; Elephantidae
Rfam family: tRNA
About the family: Transfer RNA (tRNA) molecules are approximately 80 nucleotides in length. Their secondary structure includes four short double-helical elements and three loops (D, anti-codon, and T loops).
Source: Rfam